RNAcentral lists this long non-coding RNA (294 nucleotides) under Ananas comosus (pineapple). RNAcentral describes it as "long non-coding RNA (ACOM_LNC032330)". Lineage: Eukaryota; Viridiplantae; Streptophyta; Magnoliopsida; Poales; Bromeliaceae. The record is from RNAcentral.
CAUGAAAUAUUUAUUUUUUUAAAUAAUCAAAUCGUCUAAUUAUUUAUUAUAUAUUUUUAUUAAAUAUUUUGAACUUUAAAUUUUUUGAGAAAAAAAGCAGCAGACUAUCUAAUUCAUUUAUUAGAGGGAGGAAUUAAACAAUAAAGGUGAGGUAAUAAACUUCAGUCAAAACGCAAAUAAACAAUGAAGUGGGAAAAAACAGAAAAAUUUUUUUUAAGAAAAAGGAUGGUUAGAGGAAAGAAAUUUUUUUCAUUGGAAGACCAAUCGCUUGAUCUUGUCAACUGCCAAAAAAGG